GAUGAACGCUGGCGGCGUGCCUAAUACAUGCAAGUCGAGCGAACAGACGAGGAGCUUGCUCCUCUGACGUUAGCGGCGGACGGGUGAGUAACACGUGGAUAACCUACCUAUAAGACUGGGAUAACUUCGGGAAACCGGAGCUAAUACCGGAUAAUAUAUUGAACAGCAUGGUUCAAUAGUGAAAGACGGUUUUGCUGUCACUUAUAGAUGGAUCGGCGCCGGAUUAGCUAGUUGGUAGGGUAAAGGCCUACCAAGGCGACGAUCAGUAGCCGGCCCGAGAGGACGACCAGCCACACUGGGACUGAGACACGGCCCAGACUCCUACGGGAGGCAGCAGUGGGGAAUUUUGGACAAUGGGCGAAAGCCUGAUCCAGCAAUGCCGCGUGUGUGAAGAAGGACUUCGGGUUGUAAAGCACUUUUGUCCGGAAAGAAAUCCUUGACUCUAAUACAGUCGGGGGAUGACGGUACCGGAAGAAUAAGCACCGGCUAACUACGUG
Molecule: ribosomal RNA, 497 nt
Filed under: uncultured bacterium
Lineage: Bacteria
Description: partial 16S ribosomal RNA
Rfam family: Bacterial small subunit ribosomal RNA
Source: RNAcentral